CUGUAACGUUAGAAUAUACCCCUGACAAAUUCUAUCAGGUAUGAAUAUCAUGCAAAUUGCCAAAGCACCUUCUGAAAGGCUGUACUGGUUUUCACUUCACAGCAGUGUGCUUCCCUUCACUGUUCCCAAGGCCAGCUUCAUGAGUGAGUGACCUGUGCAGUCGUACGAGGCUCUGCACUCAGAGGGCCCUGUGCUUAGUUUAAUGCUCUGCUGUCACCAUCUUGAAAUUCUUAAUAAUUUUUUCUUUGAAUAUGUGCUUGUAAGUGAAGAGUGAUGGGCUACUAGAACACGCAGGCAAUCAGGGGAGACAUGCGCCAUGUGUGUCCACCAUUCCUUGCUGCCUCGUUCACAGAUAGCAUCUGCCAUGCCUCAUGAACACACGGUUCCAGUGGAUCCAUAAUGUGCAGGAGGUCGGCUAGACUCAAAGCAAGUCCAAGAUGAGGUGAUACCAGUGGAGUAUCUUAGAUGGCCACUCACAAGCUUUUAAGACCCCACACACUACUCACCAAGGUGUGUGAGUAGGCUGUGUGGCUGGAUGCUUCUCCCUGAGGAAACUGUGGCCGAACGCUACCACCAGUCUUCCACAGCCACUCCUGGGAAUGAUGCCUGAGGGCUCCCAACAAUUCAGGUCUGGUAACUCCUCUCCACUUCUGAACCGUCUCUUCCUCUCCCUGCUCCUCAGUUCAUUUUCUGACCUUGCCUUUGAUGUUCAGAGCUCCUAGCUUGUCAAAAAUAUACUUGUUUCACUUGUUUUUUCGGGUCUUUGUUGUAAGAAGGUCUCCGGAAGUGUUUGUCUAUUCUGCCAUCUUGGCCCUGCCUCUGGAAUUGACACCUUGGAAUUGUGGUAUUGGCAGAGAAUGUUGAAUAUACCAUGGACUGCCAAAAGAACAAACAAAUCUGUCUUGGAGGAAGUACAACUAAAACGCUCUUUAGAAGCAAGGAUGGAGAGACUACAUCUCACAUACUUUGGACGUGUUAUCAGGAGGAAUCUGUCCCUGGAGAAAGACAUCAUGCUUCAUAAAGUGGAGGGUCAGCAAAAAAAGGAAGAUCCUCAACAAGAUGGAUUGACACAGUGGUGGCAACGAUGGGCUCAAACAUAGCAACAAUUGUGAGAAUGGUGCAGGACAGGGCAAUGUUUCGUUCUGCUGUGCAUAGGGUCACUAUGAGUCAGAACUGACCCAACAGCACCUAACAAUACAAAAACAACACUCCUAGGAAGAGUUAUGCCCAUUUUUUCAUACAAUUAAGAUGAAGCCCCUUUUACUUUUUGCAUAAAAACCUUCCAUAGUUCUCAGUACUUAUGGGAUAAAAUCCAAGUCUCCUGGCAUGGCAUUCAUGCCCCACUAUUAUCUGCCUGGCUUCAUCUCUGCUCCCUCCUUGGUCUUCCCCGAUCCUGCUAAAUCUUACUCUCCUUCCAGGACAUGUAGCACCUCUGCCUGGCAUGUAUUUUGUUUUCUUCUUGGUCAGAUUCAUGUACUCAUCUUUGCAAAACAGUUGGGAAGAUGAUCUUGACUCCUCCAGGGCCACUCAGCCUCUCCCUGCUUUGGGUUCCACAGCUCUGUGUACAUGCCUCUUAAUACCCCUAGUCACAAUAUAUUUUAUAAUUAUU
Molecule: long non-coding RNA, 1609 nt
Organism: Loxodonta africana (African savanna elephant)
Lineage: Eukaryota; Metazoa; Chordata; Mammalia; Proboscidea; Elephantidae
Exons: 3
Source: RefSeq, a predicted model, not a curated record